GAACGCACAUUGCGCCUCCGGGUAUUCCUGGAGGCAUGCCUGUUCGAGCGUCGUUUAAACCAUAAGGCUUUGCCUUGCGAUGACACUUGGGUUUCCGUAAGGGAGUCCAUAUGUUCAAACAUAUUGGCAUUUGAAGUUGGCCCAACGCAGCAAAAUGUGUGACGUCCUUCGAAAUGAUGCCUGUAUUUCAAAAGAAAUGGAUUUGGAAACGGAAACAUUUUUUUUUACAUAUUGGUCGACCUCGGAUCAGGCAAGAUUACCCGCUGAACUUAAG
RNAcentral lists this unclassified non-coding RNA (274 nucleotides) under uncultured fungus. RNAcentral describes it as "sequence contains 5.8S rRNA gene". The stretch from base 1 to 53 matches the Rfam family "5.8S ribosomal RNA", at positions 102 to 154 of the family's 154-position model. Lineage: Eukaryota; Fungi. The record is from RNAcentral.